CAAUAGCGUAUAUUAAAGCUGUUGCGGUUAAAAAGCUCGUAGUUGGAUUUCUGUCAAGGACAACUGGUCCGCCCUCCGGGUGAGCACAUAGUUUGGUCUUGGCAUCUUUCUGGAAACUGUUGCUGCGCUUGGUUGUGUGGUGCAGCUUUCAGCACUUUCACUUUGAGGAAAUUGGAGUGUUUCAAGCAGGCACAUGCCUUUGGACACAGUAGCAUGGAAUAAUUAGAUUGGGCUUUUGCUCCAACUUGUUGGUUCCUGGAGCUGAGGUGAGAAUCAAUGGGGAUUGUUGGGGGCAUCCGAAUUUAGCCGUCAGAGGUGAAAUUCUUGGAUCUGCUAAAGACGGACAACUGCGAAAGCGUUUGCCCAGGAUGUUUUCAUUGA
RNAcentral lists this ribosomal RNA (381 nucleotides) under uncultured eukaryote. Its description in RNAcentral is "partial 18S ribosomal RNA". It matches the Rfam family "Eukaryotic small subunit ribosomal RNA", at positions 592 to 976 of the family's 1831-position model. The record is from RNAcentral.